RNAcentral lists this ribosomal RNA (460 nucleotides) under uncultured bacterium. RNAcentral's name for it is "partial 16S ribosomal RNA". It matches the Rfam family "Bacterial small subunit ribosomal RNA", at positions 338 to 795 of the family's 1533-position model. The record is from RNAcentral.
CCUACGUGGGGCAGCAGUGAGGAAUAUUGGUCAAUGGCCGGAAGGCUGAACCAGCCAAGCCGCGUGAAGGACGAAGGUGCCAAGCAUUGUAAACUUCUUUUGUCAAGGGACAAAAUCAGGCUCGAGAGCCUGACCGAGGGUACUUGAAGAAAAAGCAUCGGCUAACUCCGUGCCAGCAGCCGCGGUAAUACGGAGGAUGCGAGCGUUAUCCGGAUUUACUGGGUGUAAAGGGGGCGCAGACGGCAAUGCAAGCCAGGAGUGAAAGCCCGGGGCCCAACCCCGGGACUGCUCUUGGAACUGCAUGGCUGGAGUACAGGAGGGGCAGGCGGAAUUCCUAGUGUAGCGGUGAAAUGCGUAGAUAUUAGGAGGAACACCGGUGGCGAAGGCGGCCUGCUGGACUGUGACUGACGUUGAGGCCCGAAGGCGUGGGGAGCAAACAGGAUUAGAUACCCCAGUAGUC